This 494-nucleotide ribosomal RNA is filed under the name uncultured bacterium. RNAcentral's name for it is "partial 16S ribosomal RNA". It matches the Rfam family "Bacterial small subunit ribosomal RNA", at positions 28 to 507 of the family's 1533-position model. The record is from RNAcentral.
GACGAACGCUGGCGGCGUGCUUAACACAUGCCAGUCGAACGGUGAAGCGCCUUCCUUUUUGGUGGGUGUGGAUGAGUGGCGAACGGGUGAGUAACACGUGAGUAACCUGCCCCCUUCUUCUGGAUAACCGCAUGAAAGUGUGGCUAAUACGGGAUAUUCUGGGUCUGUCGCAUGAUGGGUCUGGGAAAGAUAUUGUUUCGGUGGGGGAUGGGCUCGCGGCCUAUCAGCUUGUUGGUGAGGUGAUGGCCUACCAAGGCGGUGACGGGUAGCCGGCCUGAGAGGGUGGACGGUCACACUGGGACUGAGACACGGCCCAGACUCCUACGGGAGGCAGCAGUGGGGAAUAUUGCACAAUGGGCGCAAGCCUGAUGCAGCGACGCCGCGUGAGGGAUGGAGGCCUUCGGGUUGUGAACCUCUUUCGCCAGUGAAGCAGGCCUGCCUCGUUUGUGGGUGGGUUGACGGUAGCUGGAUAAGAAGCGCCGGCUAACUACGUG